UGGGCGCAGCCUGAUGCAGCCAUGCCGCGUGUGUGAAGAAGGCCUUCGGGUUGUAAAGCACUUUCAGUCGUGAGGAAGGUAGUGUAGUUAAUAGCUGCAUUAUUUGACGUUAGCGACAGAAGAAGCACCGGCUAACUCCGUGCCAGCAGCCGCGGUAAUACGGAGGGUGCGAGCGUUAAUCGGAAUUACUGGGCGUAAAGCGCAUGCAGGUGGUUUGUUAAGUCAGAUGUGAAAGCCCGGGGCUCAACCUCGGAAUUGCAUUUGAAACUGGCAGACUAGAGUACUGUAGAGGGGGGUAGAAUUUCAGGUGUAGCGGUGAAAUGCGUAGAGAUCUGAAGGAAUACCGGUGGCGAAGGCGGCCCCCUGGACAGAUACUGACACUCAGAUGCGAAAGCGUGGGGAGCAAACAGGAUUAGAUACCCUGGUAGUCCACGCCGUAAACGAUGUCUACUUGGAGGUUGUGGCCUUGAGCCGUGGCUUUCGGAGCUAACGCGUUAAGUAGACCGCCUGGGGAGUACGGUCGCAAGAUUAAAACUCAAAUGAAUUGACGGGGGCCCGCACAAGCGGUGGAGCAUGUGGUUUAAUUCGAUGCAACGCGAAGAACCUUACCUACUCUUGACAUCCAGAGAACUUUCCAGAGAUGGAUUGGUGCCUUCGGGAACUCUGAGACAGGUGCUGCAUGGCUGUCGUCAGCUCGUGUUGUGAAAUGUUGGGUUAAGUCCCGCAACGAGCGCAACCCUUAUCCUUGUUUGCCAGCGAGUAAUGUCGGGAACUCCAGGUAGACUGCCGGUGAUAAACCGGAGGAAGGUGGGGACGACGUCAAGUCAUCAUGGCCCUUA
RNAcentral lists this ribosomal RNA (839 nucleotides) under Vibrio sp. HDC8. RNAcentral's name for it is "bacterial SSU rRNA". It matches the Rfam family "Bacterial small subunit ribosomal RNA", at positions 372 to 1204 of the family's 1533-position model. The record is from RNAcentral. Lineage: Bacteria; Pseudomonadati; Pseudomonadota; Gammaproteobacteria; Vibrionales; Vibrionaceae.